AACGAACGCUGGCGGCAUGCCUAACACAUGCAAGUCGAACGGGAUCCUAGCUUGCUAGGUGAGAGUGGCGGACGGGUGAGUAACACGUGGGAAUCUCGCCUUUUGGUUCGGGAUAACCGCGGGAAACUGCGGCUAAUACCGAAUGCCCUCGAGAGAGGAAAGAUUUAUCGCCAGAAGAGGAGCCCGCGUCCGAUUAGGUAGUUGGUGGGGUAAAGGCCUACCAAGCCGACGAUCGGUAGCUGGUCUGAGAGGAUGAUCAGCCACACUGGGACUGAGAUACGGCCCAGACUCCUACGGGA
Molecule: ribosomal RNA, 299 nt
Filed under: uncultured bacterium
Lineage: Bacteria
Description: partial 16S ribosomal RNA
Rfam family: Bacterial small subunit ribosomal RNA
Source: RNAcentral